This 503-nucleotide ribosomal RNA is filed under the name uncultured bacterium. RNAcentral's name for it is "partial 16S ribosomal RNA". It matches the Rfam family "Bacterial small subunit ribosomal RNA", at positions 30 to 523 of the family's 1533-position model. The record is from RNAcentral.
ACUGAACGCUGGCGGCAGGCUUAACACAUGCAAGUCGAGCGGGGUGAUGGUGCUUGCACUAUCACUUAGCGGCGGACGGGUGAGUAAUGCUUAGGGAUCUGCCUAUUAGUGGGGGACAACAUCUCGAAAGGGAUGCUAAUACCGCAUACGUCCUACGGGAGAAAGCAGGGGAUCACUUGUGACCUUGCGCUAAUAGAUGAGCCUAAGUCGGAUUAGCUAGUGGGUGGGGUAAAGGCCUACCAAGGCGACGAUCUGUAGCGGGUCUGAGAGGAUGAUCCGCCACACUGGGACUGAGACACGGCCCAGACUCCUACGGGAGGCAGCAGUGGGGAAUAUUGGACAAUGGGGGGAACCCUGAUCCAGCCAUGCCGCGUGUGUGAAGAAGGCCUUAUGGUUGUAAAGCACUUUAAGCGAGGAGGAGGCUCUUUUGGUUAAUACCCAAGAUGAGUGGACGUUACUCGCAGAAUAAGCACCGGCUAACUCUGUGCCAGCCGCCGCGGUAA